Pongo pygmaeus (Bornean orangutan) is the source of this 9649-nucleotide long non-coding RNA. RefSeq lists it as uncharacterized. The record is from RefSeq and is a predicted model, not a curated record. The transcript is spliced from 6 exons. Lineage: Eukaryota; Metazoa; Chordata; Mammalia; Primates; Hominidae.
AACCACGGACAGCUCCCGCCCUGUGGCCCUUGUGUCCUCCCAGCGCUGUGCCGUCUGCAGUUUCACCCGGAGGACAAGGAGUGUGGCUGCAGAUCGGGUCGGCCUGCCCUUGCUCUGCUUCUUCCCCACCCACACUUGGUGGGUGUCUUCUAGGCUGUCCAGCCUUGAACUAAGCACCCCAAGAGGAGUCAGAGCCCGAGAGAUGAGAAACAGGAGCCCGAUGAAGAUCUAGGUCCGUCCCUCUCUGGGAGCUCAGCUACUGCGCCCGAGAGGCAGCGCUCAGACAGCGGGGAGGAGGCGGCCGCGGAGCCCCCGGAGACAGAGGGUGAAGGCCUGCUUUCAAAGUACCCCACGUCGUUCAGCAAAGAUUCAUCAUUUAGAAUUCAGACCUGCCAAGACCAAGGAUGCUUUGUCUCAGGUGAAAAUUUACAUGAAAUGUAACAUUUCUAAGUCCAUCAUCACCAUGUUUAUUGAUGCCUUAAAACAAGAGCUCAGAUGUGGGCAUGCUCACCCAAAAGAAAGAGAUAUCUUCAUUUCUCCUUCUUACAGUUUCCUUGUUUCCAAGGAAAAAUACAAGAUCUUGACAACUGCAAUCACCUGGUAACCAAUCAUGAAUCUGGUAUGGACCACUUUCACCCUGCUAAGAAUAUUUCCAGGAACCAAACUGCUUUGGAAGGGGAAGUGGGGCUUCUUGGAUAAAGUUUCCUGGAGAGAAAAGGAGUUCUAAUUAGUAUGGGCACUGAGGUGAGGGUAGAUAGAAACAGACAUGGGGGCAGCAUGCUUCUGUCCGGCCACCCUUAGUGGGUUGAUAUCUUGAUCGGUUGGUUGGUCAGUUCCUGGGAUAGAAUAAGGAUCCACAGCAUGUAGACCAUAUCACUGCCUAGGAAACACACAGUGGUGCUUGCCCUAGGAAUUUCUGCCCCUUCUUUCCAAGACCCCACAUUGGAGGCUCUAUCCAGAGUGAACUACUGAAAUUCUUUUAGAACUUUUAACCCAAAUAAAGCUGGGCUACCUUAUGUCCUAUUUUAGAAACAGUACUUCUUUCUAAAGAAAUGUCAUCAUGGCAAAAAAAAAAAAAAAUCCUUGUCAAGCAAUAUAAUUCUUUAGUGGAAUCUUUGGAAAGGGCAACUUAUGGGAAAUUCUAUUUCUUGACAUACAGUAAAAUGCCCUGAUGCACCACAAAUUGCUCUUCUCUCUUUUGCCUGUAGGUUUUAUCAGUCUCAAACCUCCAGCUCUUCUUUCUUUCUCAUAUGUAUCUUCCUAUCUCCUGACUUUCUGGCUCUAAAGAUAACAGUGUUACAGUACACAUCAUAAUCUCUGAAACCAAAUUGGCUAAUUAGCUUUGAACCCCGGCACUAUCAUGGUUUGUUUGUGGCCUUGGAAAAGUUGCCCAACAGUGGUUGACAUAUAUUAUAUUAACUUUUACCUUGUGCCAGGCAGGUAUUAAGCAACUAGCCCAAAGUUACUUAGCUAGUUAGUGAUAGAGCCAGGACCUGGCUCAAGCAGCUUGACUCCAAAGCCUACAUUCUUUUUUUUUUUUUCCCAGAGGAGUCUUUCUCUGUCACACAGGCUGGCACAGUGCAAUGGCGCGAUCUCAGCUCACUGCAACCUCCUCCUCCUGGGUUCAAGUAAUACUCCUGCCUCAGCCUCCUGAGUGGCUGAGAUUACAGAUGCAUGCCACCACACCCAGCUAAUUUUUUUUUGUAUUUUUAGUAAAGACAUGGUUUCACUAUGUUGGCCAGGCUGGUCUUGAACUCCUGACCUCAAGCAAUCCUCCUACCUUGGCUUCCCAAAGUGCUGAGAUUACAGGCAUGAGUCACCACGCUUGGCCCAAAGCCCAGACUCUUGAGGAUUAUGCUGUUCUGCUAUGUUAUGCCUCAGUUUUCUCAUCUUAAGAUGGGGAUAAUAAUAAUACUGCUUCAUGGCAGGAAAAAUAAUGUACUGGGGAGUGUUAAGGCUAUAAAUAUAAUAAUUUCCUUCUGACAUUAAAUGGUUUUAAUGGUUGCAUUUUACUGAGUCAACUAAAAUUCAGAGACAUUAAGUUACUUUUUUUGUAGUCUCCCUGGUAAGUUACUGAACAAAGCUGGGCUUAAAUUUAAAUCUAUACUAUUUCUAGUUGAGGCAUUCAAACUCAUACUCAGCCAUCUGAGGAUGAUGUAAUAUUGGGCGUGUGAUUUUUACCUUCCUAGGCCUCAGUUUUCUCACCUUUAAAUUUAGGGUGUUCACCUCACAAAUCCAUGAUAAUUAUAAAAAUUAGAUAUAAAAAUGUAAUUUGUAGACCUUCCAAUGGCAUGGAAAUGUUAAGUAUGGUAUUGUUAAGUAUUAUUGGGUCUUUCUAGAAGCGUCUGCCUAAGUUGCACAGAGCUGGGGAAUAAACAAAGUUUCAUGGAAACACCAGACACAUCAAAAUCACCCAAGGACACCACAGAUGGCCAUUCAGCCUACUGGGGGAUCUAGUAAGAGAACCUACUGAGGAGAGGAUAGAGGGGAGGCUGCUAAGGUACCUGAGGCCAGAGAUACAGGAAAAUUAGCUGCCCUUACUGCACAUGUGGGGAUGGGGGGAGAAUCCCUGUUCUGCUGGAACAACAACGCUUCAGAGAGGCUACUACUCAUGGUGAAGAAGGAAGCUUUAACAGUGGAGAACAUGAAGACUACAAUCACCUACACAUCCAAUCUUCCCUUAUCCCCUGUCCUAACAGAAUCACUGUACUUGCCUUUCCUUUGAAUGUGGGUUGCCUCAGGCAUUUGUUCAACAAAUAGUUGUUAAGCACCUAUGAUGUGACGGACACUAUUCCAAAGCAUACAGACAAGAUUUCCGCUUUUAUAAUAUCUGUAUCCUGAUAGAGGGAGGAGGGAGGGGAGACUAAAAGAAACAAAUGAAGGAUAUGAUUAUUUUGUCUGAUAAAGACUGUGAAGAAAAUAAACAUCUGAUUGCUCAUCAAAAUCAUCUUUGGUAAUAGAUCAUGAUAUACUUUUGCCAAAUAACCUGAAGGUGCUCAAAGAAUUGAGUGGCGUUACUAUGUAGUUUCUCAGCACCUACAACUAUAAAAAAUGGGGAAAAACCCAAACAAAUAUAAUCAAUACUGGUUCCUGUUUCAUUUUAGUAAUAAACAAAUUUUGUAUAAACUAAAAGGGUUAAAAAAUUUUCCAUCUUUUUAAUUAACAAAUGCAUUCCCAAUUAUAGUGCACUUUUGUGGUUAGCAAUUAUUUAUACAUUGUGUAUUAAUAAUAUUUGCAAAUAUCACUCAAUCCAAAACAUAUUUUAAUCCUCAGGAUCUUAGAGUCAUGGAAAAAAAGUUUUAAAGAGGCUUAGUUUAUACUCUUUUUUUUGUGAAGAUCAAUAAAAUGCUUUUAGGAAUAAAAUAUAUUGCAUUGCAACAAAAUUUUGUGAGCAAUAGGAAAUGAAAAUAUGGUUUCAAGAAAAGAGGACAGACAGAAAAUUUCUAACUAUUAGCAAAGUGCAUACCACAGCUUUUGGCUGGAUUAUUGUGAGUAUCAAGCUGCAAUGGAAUCAGAUUUCAAUGGAUACCAAUAGAAGAAUUAGCUAACCGUUUUAUUUUAAAUGUGAAUAUUUUAAUAUGCCAGCAAUUACAUAUUUAUGACAUAGGAUAAAUUUUUAGGCGAUAACUUAAAAAUAUCUGAGGGGUAUACAUAUUUGCAAAAUUCUUUUAGAGAGUGCAUAAGAUUUGAAUAUCACGUGCAUAAUCUUUAGACUGCACUAUACUUAGUGGCCCCUAGAGGGAGUCUCUCCUCACAUGUUGCCCCAGUUCCACAAGGACAACUUGGAAGGGUGGAGAGCUCUCAUUUGCAUUAACUGCUCCACAAAUUAUUAAAAAGGCCUUGAUAGGAAGCUCACUGGAAGGAAAAUGUGGCAUAGUGGAAAUAGCAGUAGAUUUUGCUCAAGAUUAGUUUUCCUGAUUCUUCUCCUAACUAGUUCAUUGGUUCUCUGAGCCCAGUUUCCUCAUUUGAAAUAUGAGUGGUAGGAUACAUUCAUAUAAAGAAUACAGACUCUGGGAUUGGACUGCCUGAGCUCAAAUUUCAGCUUUGCUACUUACCAGCUGGGUGACCUGAUAUAUGUUUUUGAUAUUUUAGUGCUUUCUGUCUGUCAUCUAAUAACCAUAAUAGGAAUGAUAGUAGUACCUAUUGAAUAGAGUUAUUGUGAUGAUUAACCAAAUUAACAUUUAUAAAGUGCUUUGAAUAGUGCCUAGCACAUAGAUAUAAUUAUUACUUAUUACCUUAACUAUUAAUAUUAUUAUAAUCAUUAACAUGGCUUUUGAAAAAAUGAAAAUGAACAAUGCAUGGGAAAUGCUUUAAACCCCACGGCUGCUACACAACUAAAAGAAAUGCUAAUAAAUCACAUUAGCUAUGGUGCUUUCAGCAGCAAAUUACAAAAACAAAAACAAAACUAAAAUGGGUUUAACCUAUGAGGAGAUUUAUUAUUUCCUAUAACAAUUAGCUCAUAUAUGUGACAGUCAGGGCUCCAGAGCUAUAAUUCCAGGCUCUGCUCCGUGAGGUGUUGUCUUUGUGCUUGCAGUGUCUUCCCUCUCACUCACAAGACAGCUACUACUGGAAGCUGAAGCCAGAUACUUCCUUCUUCCCUUCCAUCUAAUUGGCCAACGUAAGUCAGGUGCUCACCUCCGCAUCACUACUAUUUCUUAAGGAAGUUCCACGCACCGAUUGCCUUAACCCCAUGUCUGAACUGAUCCCUGGUACAUGGGAUAGUGUGACUAGGUUAGGACAAUCAAGAUUCAGACCCUGGAACUGGAGAUAUGAGUCACACAUCUUAGUCAGUGUCCCAGCAGGGAGCAGAUGGCACAUUGAAACUAGUUUAAUGAGAAUUUAAUAAAGUGACUAUAAAGCUGUGGGCAAAGUUUAGGGAACUCAGCAAAGGAUGGUGCAGUGUCCAGGGUUGGCAACAACAGGAACCAAUACUGCCCUCAGCCUGAGGAUUAGGGGGCUAUUAUUAGAACACAAGUGCCAAGAAUCAGACAGGGAGGGUUGCCCAAGAGGUUCUUUGUCCAUUCAUAGAGGGAUGCUGUCAACUUGCAACUACCUAGCAAAGAAGGAAGCCAGAAGAAAAAAUACCCACCCUCCUUCUGAAAGCCACAGUGCAAGGAAGCCAUUAAUGCCAUCAAUGCACACUCAUCACCAGAUCAGGCACUCAGACUCUAGGUCACAGUGGAGAAGGAUAAGCAUAUGGAAUUAUGAGCAUACAUGGACAUUGAAUACACAUGAGCUGUACAAAGGAGGGGACAGACACCUAAACAAAAUCAUAUCCUGUUAGGAAAGAGGAAGAGGAAGCUGGUUAGACAUCUAACACAAUUCACUGUAAGUAUUCUUUUUCAAAAUAAGAUUGUUCUGUUUUGUUUUCGAAUAUAAAUUAUCUACAAUUGAAGGCAUCUUUUUUUUAAGUAAAAUUCCUCCUCAAAGGAGAGGCACAACAAGAUAACAAAAAAGGCUGAACUGUCACUACUUGAUGAGAGAUUCAGGGAAAGAUGGAUGUCUUGACCUUUCAGGGGAAAGUGAAGAAAUCCAUUCCCAGAAGGGAUUGCAAAGGGAAGUGGCUGUUCCCUUGAUAAGGCCAAAGAGGGCAAGCCUAAUGAGGCCUAAGCCAGUUACAUGGUGUAAUUUACUGAAUGGUGUUGGCUGCCUUGCAAUGUUUCAAGGCAAUCUUUUUGCAAUACAUGAUUAGUAGGAAAAAGAGAUUUGGAUUUUGCCAUUUUCCAAAGGAAACUUGACUACAUUUAGUAAUACAGAAAAAUGUUCUCUUUGGAAAGUCUCAUAUUUCUAUGCAAAGUGGCGUCCCAAGUCAGAAUUUACACAAUGUAUUAUUGCCUAGUGUAUGAGGAUCAGCUAAUUAGUUCUGAACUAAAUGUCAAGAUAAAUAAACCCAACCUCUAAAGAACUCCAAGAAGCUCUGUGACUAAGUGUCGCCAUCAAGGACGAGAAGAGUCUACACCAGUGAUUCUCAACACUGGCUAUGUAUUAGAACUUUUUGGGAGAUUUGAAAAUUUUCUGGGCCCAGAUUCCACCCCAGAGCAAUUAAAUGAGAAUAUCUUUCAGUAAGGUACAGGCAUUGGUACUUUUUGAAAAGCUCCCCAAGUGAUCCUCAUAUGCUUCCAGAGUUGAGAAGCUCUGGUAUAUAAGACACCUGUAUUUCCAAUAGAUGCAGCAUGCUCAAAUCAAUCAGAUCAGUUGCUGUGCUGAUGAGUCAAUUCAGUCCAAGUAGCCAUGUUAGCAUGUAGAGCUUAUGACUUUUUUGCUGUGUCUUUUAGCCAGAUAUUGAGCCAACACAAUAGAGCAGUUAAAAAGGAGGACUGCCUGGGGUCAUAUUCUGUGUCCACUCAUGAGCUAUGUGACUUUGGAAAAGUCACUUAACUGUUUUGAGGCUUAGUUUCAUCAUCUGUAAAAUGGGGGCAAUGGUAGGAAUUACAACACAGAUUGUGUUGAGUAUUAACUCAGAAAAUAUUUAUGGAAGUCUUAGAGCAGUGCCCAUCACAGAGUGAGCCCUCACUAACUGCACGCUGUAGUUAUGUGUCUAGAUUUAAGCCAACUGGAAGUCCCAGGAGGAUCCCUACACCUUUCCCACUGGCUUUGUAGAAUUCUGUCUGGCAGGGGGUUGGGGAGGAGAGGUUGUUGAAGUAACUAGAUAUUUUGGCCCCUCCCAAUCCAGAAUAUAUGAGUCUAUGAAAUGCUUUGGAGUAUUUCUGCAUGACAGGUAAGGACUUUAAGAAUGAAAACGACUACUAUUUCUGCCAAUAAUUGCCACCGUUUAUUGAUUGUGUCAGGUACCCUGUCAGGCAGUUUCCAUCUUCUCACAAUCUUCACAAGAAUCCUACAGAAACAAGAUGUAUCCCCUGAUUUACUGAUGAUGAUCCUUCAGCCCAGAGAUGGGUACCACAGGUCCAGAGAACAGAAGUUAAGGGCAGACAUUGUGGAACUGGCUUUGGGCUGUGAAGAACAGCGUCUCGCUGUAUUGCCAGACUGGAGUGCAGUGGCGCGAUCUCGGCUCACUGCAACCUCCACCUCCCAGGUUCAACUGAUUCUCCUGCCUCAGCCUCCUGAGUAGCUGGGACUACAGGCGCCCACCACCAUGCCCAGCUAAUUUUUUUUAUUUUUAGUAGAGAUGGGGUUUCACCAUGCUGGCCAAGCUGGUCUCGAAUUCCUGACCUCAGGUGAUCCACCCCCAUUAACCUCCCAAAGUGCUGACAUUACAGGUGUGAGCCACUGCACCCUGCCUAAUAUACUUUUGUUGUACAAAACACGAUGGAAUACUUGCUCUGUGACUGGCUCUGUGCAAAGUACAUUACCCACAGUGGCCUAUUUAAACUUGGCAAUAGCCCUAUGAGAUAGGCACUAAUUGUGUUCCCCAUUUUACAAACGAGGAAACAGAGGCACAGAGCUUAUAACUGGUGGCUGAGCUUCCGGUUGGGGCCAUCUAGUUACAGAACUUGCAUGUUUAAUCAUGACACCAUAAUGCUUUGCAAUGGGAGAUUCCAAGAGGGGGAAUUUGACAUUCAGUGUUUCCCAAAUUUAUUUGGCUUUGGAACCCUUUUAUUCCUUCUAAUCGACAUAGAGGACAAGUAUGUAAUGGGAUACUCUGAUAAAUGCUUCAAUAAAGCAACGGAUUUAUGCCGCCCCUCUUUAAAAUAUAACUAAAAAUAUAAGUCCACAGGCCCAUCAUAUAAUUGAACAGGUAACGAUUGAAUUUUGAUUUGAUGGAAAGACUCUAAUCAUGUUAAUCUAAGUUCUCAAAGUGAAUGCCACUAAACCAAGACUAUUCAGUGUAUUUGAAGUAUGUACAAUACCAGUCAGAAUUGGGACUUCUCAGGAAGAAAAAAGGGUAUAUGGCAGAUAGGUAAGAAUAGAAAGCCACAGGUCUAGCAGGGAAGCUAAAUAUGGUGUGGAAUGUGUUGGGGAGAUGGGAGAAAUGCUCACCUCUUCAUGGAAGUUCGAAAAGAAGACUGAGAUUCUAAAUAACGCUGGAGUAUUGCAGCUGGAACAAGCAUGAUACCAAUGGCCAACACAAGGCCUUUUUAGAAUAAAUCUAAAACAAUUAAGAGAUAAUAUGCCAGCGGGUUGAUGCCAGGUAAUACUGAUGGUUACCUUAAACAAUGUUUUCUAAACUUCAGUUUUUUACACACCAACUUCAUGAUUUUUUUCUAUCAAGAUACCACUACUAUUAUUUAUCUAGCAUUUUUUAAAUUGUCUUAUUUCUUUGCUUAAAUAUUUUUUAAACCUUAAUAUCUGAGAAUUCAUCGUUUUGAAGGAAUAAUUAUAUUGUUUUAAUAUAUAAAUUUUAAAGUUAAUAUCUUUAUUCCAUCUAAAGUGGUAUGUGUACUAUUCUUUGGAAAUGAUUUGAUUUUCUAAAGGAUUAAAAACUUGCCAGUGUUGGAAAAAAAAGGAAACAAGAAAAUUAAGACUGAGUUAAAUAAGGUGAAAACAAAAUUGAAGACUAAAGGUUAGACAUGAAAUAUAUCUGUCUCUAAUUUGAGGUACAAUGUCAAAUUUUUUUUGUAAAUUGUUCUAAAAAUAUCAGUUGUUCUUUUGCUUGUAUUUUAAUUCAAUGAUUAAAUAAACAGAUGACCUAGUUUCAUUAACAGAUUAUCUUUUUCUUAGUUCUGUCUGAUAACUGCAACAAAAAUAUCAAAUACCCCUCAUAUAAAUUAUCAAAUCAAAAGGUUAUUCAUUAUAUGGAAUGUUUUAUUUAUGACCAUCUGUAUUGCAGCUUUGAGUUAACAUUAGCUUGGAUGGCUUUUUUUUUUAUCUUUUUGAGACAGUCUCACUCUGUCACCCAGGCUGGAGUGUGAGGGCACAAUCACAGCUCACUGCAACCUCAACUUCCUAGAUUCAGCCUCUCAAGUUUCUGGGACCACAGGUGCCUGCCACCAUGCCUGGCUAAUUUUUUGUUAUUAUUUGUAGAGAUGAGGGUCUCCCUGUGUUGCCCAGGCUGAUCUCAAACUCCUGGGCUGAAGUGAUCCUCCCACCUUGGCCUCCCAUAGUGCUGGGAUUACAGGUGUGAGCUUCUGCACCUGGCCUUGGGUGACAUUUUAGAAAUCAAUUUUGAAUUUUUAAAAACUCAUCUUGUGCUUCCAAAAAAAAAAAAAGACAUAUUAAUGUGCUACAAAGUCCACUUUAUUACAGACCAUUUCAUCAUUCCAUUGAUUACCCAUGGCAUGAAACAUUCUUCCAUAUUGACAUUAGACAUAGAAAUUGAAACACAGAUGACUAAACUUACUGUUUCAACAAAAUGUGAAUCAAUAGAUUAUUUGAUAAGAGCAAGAGACAUCCCCUACAGCAGUACUAUUCACAGAACUUUCUGUGAUGAUGGGAAUAUUCCACACCUGCCCUGUCUGAUUCAAUAGCUUCUAGUUACAUGUGCUCACUGAGCACUUGAAAUGUCAAUAGUAUGCCUAAAUAACUGAGUUUUUAUUUUAUUUUAAUUCAUCUAAAUUUAAGUGUAAAUGACCACAGGUGGCCAGCAGUCUACACAAUGGAAUGUGGAGCCCUGUAGGGUAGCAAACCUUCUGCUCAGGAUUCUGUCUUUUAAAGAGGGUUUGGAGAAAAUUCAUUCAUAUUUGACUCUUUUUCUUUAUAGAGGAAGUCUCCAUUUAUGCCUAUAUUUUAAUAAAAUGGCUUCAACAUUCUG